GAUGAACGCUGGCGGCGUGCCUAAUACAUGCAAGUCGAGCGAACAGACGAGGAGCUUGCUCCUCUGACGUUAGCGGCGGACGGGUGAGUAACACGUGGAUAACCUACCUAUAAGACUGGGAUAACUUCGGGAAACCGGAGCUAAUACCGGAUAAUAUAUUGAACCGCAUGGUUCAAUAGUGAAAGACGGUUUUGCUGUCACUUAUAGAUGGAUCCGCGCCGCAUUAGCUAGUUGGUAAGGUAACGGCUUACCAAGGCAACGAUGCGUAGCCGACCUGAGAGGGUGAUCGGUCACACUGGAACUGAGACACGGUCCAGACUCCUACGGGAGGCAGCAGUAGGGAAUCUUCCGCAAUGGGCGAAAGCCUGACGGAGCAACGCCGCGUGAGUGAUGAAGGUCUUCGGAUCGUAAAACUCUGUUAUUAGGGAAGAACAAAUGUGUAAGUAACUAUGCACGUCCUGACGGUACCUAAUCAGAAAGCCACGGCUAACUACGUG
This 497-nucleotide ribosomal RNA is filed under the name uncultured bacterium. Its description in RNAcentral is "partial 16S ribosomal RNA". It matches the Rfam family "Bacterial small subunit ribosomal RNA", at positions 28 to 507 of the family's 1533-position model. The record is from RNAcentral.